This 72-nucleotide transfer RNA is filed under the name Calliteara horishanella. Its description in RNAcentral is "tRNA-Trp". The record is from RNAcentral. Lineage: Eukaryota; Metazoa; Arthropoda; Insecta; Lepidoptera; Erebidae.
AAGGUUUUAAGUUAAUUAAACUAAUAAUCUUCAAAAUUAUUUAUAAAGAAACUAAUUAUUCUUUAAGCCUUA